This 418-nucleotide long non-coding RNA is filed under the name Daucus carota (carrot). Its description in RNAcentral is "long non-coding RNA (DCAR_LNC006360)". Lineage: Eukaryota; Viridiplantae; Streptophyta; Magnoliopsida; Apiales; Apiaceae. The record is from RNAcentral.
GAACAUUUUCCUGAAUAUCUCUCUUGACUAUUGGAUACUUAACAGCUCACACUCUUCACCUAGCAUUAGCCUUAAUAUCCUUCUCCGAAAUUCUUCCCUGUAAAGUUAAUACAUAAAAAGGGAUGAGCUUAUAAAGCUCAGUAAGCAUAUACGUACGUUUCAACUGAGUUUUAUUCACAAAACUUGGUGAACCAAAUCAAUAUUUCAUCAGAGUCAUCAAAACAGUUUCACACAUCAAGAUGAGUAUGAGUAUUCAAGCACGAUUAGUUCAUCAAUUCAUCAAGUUGGGAUCCCGGCCAGCUAAACAAUUGGUUUAGCUUUACUUCCAAUAAGGAAGCAUCAUCAUCAGUUCAUCAAGUAUCAAUGCAAGAAUACUCAUUUCUCAUCAGAAAAUCAUCAAUAAAAUAUUCACCAAAAC